This 253-nucleotide ribosomal RNA is filed under the name uncultured bacterium. RNAcentral describes it as "partial 16S ribosomal RNA". It matches the Rfam family "Bacterial small subunit ribosomal RNA", at positions 524 to 776 of the family's 1533-position model. The record is from RNAcentral.
UACGUAGGGCGCAAGCGUUGUCCGGAAUUAUUGGGCGUAAAGAGCUCGUAGGCGGUUUGUCGCGUCUGUCGUGAAAGCUUGGGGCUUAACCCUAAGUCUGCGGUGGAUACGGGCAGGCUAGAGGCAGGUAGGGGAGAACGGAAUUCCCGGUGUAGCGGUGAAAUGCGCAGAUAUCGGGAGGAACACCGGUGGCGAAGGCGGGUCUCUGGGCAGUAACUGACACUGAGGAGCGAAAGCGUGGGGAGCGAACAGG